GACGAACGCUGGCGGCGUGCUUAACACAUGCAAGUCGAACGGAAAGGCCCUGCUUGCAGGGUACUCGAGUGGCGAACGGGUGAGUAACACGUGGGUGAUCUGCCCUGCACUUCGGGAUAAGCCUGGGAAACUGGGUCUAAUACCGGAUAGGAGCCAUUUUUAGUGUGAUGGUUGGAAAGUUUUUUCGGUGUAGGAUGAGCUCGCGGCCUAUCAGCUUGUUGGUGGGGUAAUGGCCUACCAAGGCGGCGACGGGUAGCCGGCCUGAGAGGGUGGACGGCCACAUUGGGACUGAGAUACGGCCCAGACUCCUACGGGAGGCAGCAGUGGGGAAUAUUGCACAAUGGGCGCAAGCCUGAUGCAGCGACGCCGCGUGGGGGAUGACGGCCUUCGGGUUGUAAACUCCUUUCGCUAGGGACGAAGCUUUUGUGACGGUAGCUAGAUAAGAAGCACCGGCUAACUACGUG
RNAcentral lists this ribosomal RNA (464 nucleotides) under uncultured bacterium. Its description in RNAcentral is "partial 16S ribosomal RNA". It matches the Rfam family "Bacterial small subunit ribosomal RNA", at positions 28 to 507 of the family's 1533-position model. The record is from RNAcentral.